This 121-nucleotide small nucleolar RNA is filed under the name Echinops telfairi (small Madagascar hedgehog). Its description in RNAcentral is "Small nucleolar RNA SNORA61 (ENSETEG00000025762.1)". Lineage: Eukaryota; Metazoa; Chordata; Mammalia; Afrosoricida; Tenrecidae. The record is from RNAcentral.
UCCCUCCAGAUUCCUUACAGCUCAGGUCUAAAUAUUGGUCGGAGUGGCUAACAAAGGAGGAAAGGAAAACCUGAAGUGGACCUGGUGUCUUUAGUGACUUAUGAGUUCAUUGAAAACAUCA